Molecule: ribosomal RNA, 274 nt
Filed under: uncultured bacterium
Lineage: Bacteria
Description: partial 16S ribosomal RNA
Rfam family: Bacterial small subunit ribosomal RNA
Source: RNAcentral
AUACGGAGGGUGCGAGCGUUAAUCGGAAUUACUGGGCGUAAAGCGCGCGUAGGCGGCUGGGUCAGUCGGAUGUGAAAGCCCCGGGCUUAACCUGGGAAUUGCAUUCGAUACUGCCCGGCUAGAGUAUGGGAGAGGGAAGUGGAAUUUCCGGUGUAGCGGUGAAAUGCGUAGAUAUCGGAAGGAACACCAGUGGCGAAGGCGGCUUCCUGGCCCAAUACUGACGCUCAGGUGCGAAAGCGUGGGGAGCAAACAGGAUUAGAAACCCCUGUAGUCC